RNAcentral lists this ribosomal RNA (2915 nucleotides) under Campylobacter coli. RNAcentral's name for it is "23S ribosomal RNA". It matches the Rfam family "Bacterial large subunit ribosomal RNA". Lineage: Bacteria; Pseudomonadati; Campylobacterota; Epsilonproteobacteria; Campylobacterales; Campylobacteraceae. The record is from RNAcentral.
GUAAGCUACUAAGAGCGAAUGGUGGAUGCCUUGACUGGUAAAGGCGAUGAAGGACGUACUAGACUGCGAUAAGCUACGGGGAGCUGUCAAGAAGCUUUGAUCCGUAGAUUUCCGAAUGGGGCAACCCAAUGUAUAGAGAUAUACAUUACCUAUAUAGGAGCGAACGAGGGGAAUUGAAACAUCUUAGUACCCUCAGGAAAAGAAAUCAAUAGAGAUUGCGUCAGUAGCGGCGAGCGAAAGCGUAAGAGGGCAAACCCAGUGCUUGCACUGGGGGUUGUAGGACUGCAAUGUGCAAGAGGUGAGUUUAGCAGAACAUUCUGGAAAGUAUAGCCAUAGAGGGUGAUAGUCCCGUAUGCGAAAAACAAACCUUAGCUAGCAGUAUCCUGAGUAGGGCGGGACACGAGAAAUCCUGUCUGAAGCUGGGUCGACCACGAUCCAACCCUAAAUACUAAUACCAGAUCGAUAGUGCACAAGUACCGUGAGGGAAAGGUGAAAAGAACUGAGGUGAUCAGAGUGAAAUAGAACCUGAAACCAUUUGCUUACAAUCAUUCAGAGCACUAUGUAGCAAUACAGUGUGAUGGACUGCCUUUUGCAUAAUGAGCCUGCGAGUUGUGGUGUCUGGCAAGGUUAAGCAAACGCGAAGCCGUAGCGAAAGCGAGUCUGAAUAGGGCGCUUAGUCAGAUGCUGCAGACCCGAAACGAAGUGAUCUAUCCAUGAGCAAGUUGAAGCUAGUGUAAGAACUAGUGGAGGACUGAACCCAUAGGCGUUGAAAAGCCCCGGGAUGACUUGUGGAUAGGGGUGAAAGGCCAAUCAAACUUCGUGAUAGCUGGUUCUCUCCGAAAUAUAUUUAGGUAUAGCGUUGUGUCGUAAUAUAAGGGGGUAGAGCACUGAAUGGGCUAGGGCAUACACCAAUGUACCAAACCCUAUCAAACUCCGAAUACCUUAUAUGUAAUCACAGCAGUCAGGCGGCGAGUGAUAAAAUCCGUCGUCAAGAGGGAAACAACCCAGACUACCAGCUAAGGUCCCUAAAUCUUACUUAAGUGGAAAACGAUGUGAAGUUACUUAAACAACCAGGAGGUUGGCUUAGAAGCAGCCAUCCUUUAAAGAAAGCGUAAUAGCUCACUGGUCUAGUGAUUUUGCGCGGAAAAUAUAACGGGGCUAAAGUAAGUACCGAAGCUGUAGACUUGAUUUUAUCAAGUGGUAGGAGAGCGUUCUAUUUGCGCCGAAGGUAUACCGGUAAGGAGUGCUGGAGCGAAUAGAAGUGAGCAUGCAGGCAUGAGUAGCGAUAAUUAAUGUGAGAAUCAUUAACGCCGUAAACCCAAGGUUUCCUACGCGAUGCUCGUCAUCGUAGGGUUAGUCGGGUCCUAAGUCGAGUCCGAAAGGGGUAGACGAUGGCAAAUUGGUUAAUAUUCCAAUACCAACAUUAGUGUGCGAUGGAAGGACGCUUAGGGCUAAGGGGGCUAGCGGAUGGAAGUGCUAGUCUAAGGUCGUAGGAGGUUAUACAGGCAAAUCCGUAUAACAUACUCCGAGAACUGAAAGGCUUUUUGAAGUCUUCGGAUGGAUAGAAGAACCCCUGAUGCCGUCGAGCCAAGAAAAGUUUCUAAGUUUAGCUAAUGUUGCCCGUACCGUAAACCGACACAGGUGGGUGGGAUGAGUAUUCUAAGGCGCGUGGAAGAACUCUCUUUAAGGAACUCUGCAAAAUAGCACCGUAUCUUCGGUAUAAGGUGUGGUUCGCUUCGUAUUAGGAUUUACUCCGAAAGCGAAGAAACUUACAACAAAGAGUCCCUCCCGACUGUUUACCAAAAACACAGCACUCUGCUAACUCGUAAGAGGAUGUAUAGGGUGUGACGCCUGCCCGGUGCUCGAAGGUUAAUUGAUGGGGUUAGCAUUAGCGAAGCUCUUGAUCGAAGCCCGAGUAAACGGCGGCCGUAACUAUAACGGUCCUAAGGUAGCGAAAUUCCUUGUCGGUUAAAUACCGACCUGCAUGAAUGGCGUAACGAGAUGGGAGCUGUCUCAAAGAGGGAUCCAGUGAAAUUGUAGUGGAGGUGAAAAUUCCUCCUACCCGCGGCAAGACGGAAAGACCCCGUGGACCUUUACUACAGCUUGACACUGCUAUUUGGAUAAGAAUGUGCAGGAUAGGUGGGAGGCUUUGAAGCUAGGACGCCAGUUCUAGCAGAGCCAUUGUUGAGAUACCACUCUUUCUUAUUUGGGUAGCUAACCAGCUUGAGUUAUCCUCAAGUGGGACAAUGUCUGGUGGGUAGUUUGACUGGGGCGGUCGCCUCCCAAAUAAUAACGGAGGCUUACAAAGGUUGGCUCAGAACGGUUGGAAAUCGUUCGUAGAGUAUAAAGGUAUAAGCCAGCUUAACUGCAAGACAUACAAGUCAAGCAGAGACGAAAGUCGGUCUUAGUGAUCCGGUGGUUCUGUGUGGAAGGGCCAUCGCUCAAAGGAUAAAAGGUACCCCGGGGAUAACAGGCUGAUCUCCCCCAAGAGCUCACAUCGACGGGGAGGUUUGGCACCUCGAUGUCGGCUCAUCGCAUCCUGGGGCUGGAGCAGGUCCCAAGGGUAUGGCUGUUCGCCAUUUAAAGCGGUACGCGAGCUGGGUUCAGAACGUCGUGAGACAGUUCGGUCCCUAUCUGCCGUGGGCGUAAGAAGAUUGAAGAGAUUUGACCCUAGUACGAGAGGACCGGGUUGAACAAACCACUGGUGUAGCUGUUGUUCUGCCAAGAGCAUCGCAGCGUAGCUAAGUUUGGAAAGGAUAAACGCUGAAAGCAUCUAAGCGUGAAGCCAACUCUAAGAUGAAUCUUCUCUAAGCUCUCUAGAAGACUACUAGUUUGAUAGGCUGGGUGUGUAAUGGAUGAAAGUCCUUUAGCUGACCAGUACUAAUAGAGCGUUUGGCUUAUCUUUAAUAAAGCAU